UUGAACGCUGGCGGCCUGCCUUACACAUGCAAGUCGAACGGCAGCACGGGUGCUUGCACCUGGUGGCGAGUGGCGAACGGGUGAGUAAUACAUCGGAACAUGUCCUGUAGUGGGGGAUAGCCCGGCGAAAGCCGGAUUAAUACCGCAUACGAUCCACGGAUGAAAGCGGGGGACCUUCGGGCCUCGCGCUAUAGGGUUGGCCGAUGGCUGAUUAGCUAGUUGGUGGGGUAAAGGCCUACCAAGGCGACGAUCAGUAGCUGGUCUGAGAGGACGACCAGCCACACUGGGACUGAGACACGGCCCAGACUCCUACGGGAGGCAGCAGUGGGGAAUUUUGGACAAUGGGCGAAAGCCUGAUCCAGCAAUGCCGCGUGUGUGAAGAAGGCCUUCGGGUUGUAAAGCACUUUUGUCCGGAAAGAAAUCCUUGGCUCUAAUACAGUCGGGGGAUGACGGUACCGGAAGAAUAAGCACCGGCUAACUACGUG
Molecule: ribosomal RNA, 485 nt
Filed under: uncultured bacterium
Lineage: Bacteria
Description: partial 16S ribosomal RNA
Rfam family: Bacterial small subunit ribosomal RNA
Source: RNAcentral